Long non-coding RNA from Gopherus flavomarginatus (Mexican gopher tortoise), 537 nucleotides. RefSeq lists it as uncharacterized. Lineage: Eukaryota; Metazoa; Chordata; Testudines; Testudinidae. The transcript is spliced from 2 exons. The record is from RefSeq and is a predicted model, not a curated record.
CAGCUGGGACCUAGGCAGCUGUUAACCCUGUCCCUCUUCCCAAACACUACACCCGGGUCCCUCACCUCGAAACCCGCCAAAGGAGGUACCACAGACUUAGAGGAAUUGUGAAGUGCUUCAAGAUUCUUGGAUGGAAGCAACAACAACCACCAUGACCCUUUAAUGGGGUUUGAAUCCAGGACCUCCAGCACAGACCUGAAGCUAGAGGACUAAACCCAUUAGCUAGCAGCAGUAAUAUCACCACCUAAUGCUAAUCUAUCAUUUUAGAUCCCCUAGCACUUUACAAAGUCAGUAUCAUUGUCCCCAUUUUAUAGCAGGGUUAACUAAAGGCUAGGGAAGUGAAAGGACUUGCAGAAGGUCACUCAGGCUAGCUAGGAAUGGAACCCAGGCCUCUAGAGUCCCAACCUAGUGCGCUCUACUUUAUUGCUUCUUUGGAGGAGGCACCCUGCCACUCUGGAUAAGCAGCAGAUGAGGACACAAACAGAUUUUGAGCAUGUUGCACAAUGUUGUCAGAGAAAUAAAAGAGCUGUUUGGGUA